This 429-nucleotide ribosomal RNA is filed under the name Chloroflexota bacterium. Its description in RNAcentral is "Chloroflexi bacterium partial 16S ribosomal RNA". It matches the Rfam family "Bacterial small subunit ribosomal RNA", at positions 355 to 776 of the family's 1533-position model. The record is from RNAcentral. Lineage: Bacteria; Bacillati; Chloroflexota.
UGGGGAAUAUUGCACAAUGGGCGCAAGCCUGAUGCAGCCAUGCCGCGUGUAUGAAGAAGGCCUUCGGGUUGUAAAGUACUUUCAGUCGGGAGGAAGGUGGUAAGGUUAAUAACCUUAUCAAUUGACGUUACCGACAGAAGAAGCACCGGCUAACUCCGUGCCAGCAGCCGCGGUAAUACGGAGGGUGCAAGCGUUAAUCGGAAUUACUGGGCGUAAAGCGCACGCAGGCGGUUGAUUGAGUCAGAUGUGAAAUCCCCGGGCUUAACCCGGGAAUUGCAUCUGAUACUGGUCAGCUAGAGUCUUGGAGAGGGGGGUAGAAUUCCAUGUGUAGCGGUGAAAUGCGUAGAGAUGGGGAGGAAUACCGGUGGCGAAGGCGGCCCCCUGGACAAAGACUGACGCUCAGGUGCGAAAGCGUGGGGAGCAAACAGG